This 556-nucleotide ribosomal RNA is filed under the name Escherichia coli. RNAcentral's name for it is "bacterial SSU rRNA". It matches the Rfam family "Bacterial small subunit ribosomal RNA", at positions 989 to 1533 of the family's 1533-position model. Lineage: Bacteria; Pseudomonadati; Pseudomonadota; Gammaproteobacteria; Enterobacterales; Enterobacteriaceae. The record is from RNAcentral.
CACGGAGGUUUUCAGAGAUGAGAAUGUGCCUUCGGGAACCGUGAGACAGGUGCUGCAUGGCUGUCGUCAGCUCGUGUUGUGAAAUGUUGGGUUAAGUCCCGCAACGAGCGCAACCCUUAUCCUUUGUUGCCAGCGGUCCGGCCGGGAACUCAAAGGAGACUGCCAGUGAUAAACUGGAGGAAGGUGGGGAUGACGUCAAGUCAUCAUGGCCCUUACGACCAGGGCUACACACGUGCUACAAUGGCGCAUACAAAGAGAAGCGACCUCGCGAGAGCAAGCGGACCUCAUAAAGUGCGUCGUAGUCCGGAUUGGAGUCUGCAACUCGACUCCAUGAAGUCGGAAUCGCUAGUAAUCGUGGAUCAGAAUGCCACGGUGAAUACGUUCCCGGGCCUUGUACACACCGCCCGUCACACCAUGGGAGUGGGUUGCAAAAGAAGUAGGUAGCUUAACCUUCGGGAGGGCGCUUACCACUUUGUGAUUCAUGACUGGGGUGAAGUCGUAACAAGGUAACCGUAGGGGAACCUGCGGUUGGAUCACCUCCUUACCUUAAAGAAGC